Molecule: ribosomal RNA, 442 nt
Filed under: uncultured bacterium
Lineage: Bacteria
Description: partial 16S ribosomal RNA
Rfam family: Bacterial small subunit ribosomal RNA
Source: RNAcentral
CCUACGGGAGGCAGCAGUGGGGAAUUUUGGACAAUGGGCGAAAGCCUGAUCCAGCGACGCCGCGUGGAGGACGAAGGUCUUCGGAUUGUAAACUCCUUUUGCAGGGGACGAAAAAAAUGACGGUACUCUGCGAAUAAGCCACGGCUAACUACGUGCCAGCAGCCGCGGUAAUACGUAGGUGGCGAGCGUUACUCGGAAUUACUGGGCGUAAAGGGUGUGUAGGCGGCCGAGCAAGUCGAAGAUGAAAUCCCAGGGCUCAACCCUGGAAUUGUCUUCGAUACUGCUGGGCUUGAGGGUAGUGGAGGAGAGUGGAAUCCCCAGUGUAGGAGUAAAAUCCGUAGAUAUUGGGAGGAACACCCGUGGCGAAGGCGGCUUCCUGGCCAUGGCCUGACGCUGAGGGGCGAAAGCCAGGGGAGCGAACGGGAUUAGAUACCCCGGUAGU